Molecule: non-coding RNA, 807 nt
Organism: Pelobates cultripes (western spadefoot toad)
Lineage: Eukaryota; Metazoa; Chordata; Amphibia; Anura; Pelobatidae
Source: the annotation of a GenBank genome assembly
GUAUGUUCCUGCACAGUUUGAUGUUUUGUUUUUUCCCUCACAGUCCAUAAAUUACUGCUUACUGCCAUGACCACACUUCUCGCUGUGGAAAUGUUUAAAUUCAAAUUGAGAAGAUUAUAUGAUUGUUUAACCAAUUAUCGCUUUGCAGUUCAUUUUAGGAAGUGUUCCUAUUUUUAUUGCAAAAGCAAAAUAAUCGUCUGAAGCUUUUGUAAGAUCUGUUUGAAAGAUGAAUCUGAUUGCUUUGCCGGACUCUACAUAGUCUUGCGUUGAGUCAGCUUAGAUUUGAAUGUUAAAGAGCUUUUCUAGUCAGAGGUUUCAAUGGUACACAGUUCUGCUUAACACCCUGUUCCAUUGAAAACAUCACUGGAGCUAUCUUUCAGGGAAGUGAUGUUUAAUAAGAUGUUGACUUAUUUAUUGGAACCUGUUUAAUUGCCUAAAAGCCAACCAUUUUUCUACACAGAAGCAGAGAGAAAUCUGAUUUGUUUUGCCUUCUGUCAAUGGACACAGCACCUUUACAGAGAUGUUCAAUACACCACAAGUAUCAGAGAACAUGUAGCAAAUAUGCAGUGGGUACCUUACUUUACUAACAUUUUUUUUUUUUUUUUUUAGAAAGUCCACUAAAUGGGAUUAAAAAGGGUUCUUUUGAAACUCUGGGCAUAACUACCCAGACUAAAAAGGCUGUUUUGCACAGUGCUUUGUAUUGCACUAUUAUCUGUUUCUCAAUUACUGGAAAUGUGGGAUAAUGUUGAUUUACAUUAUAUAGGUUUUAACUAUAAGGGUGACAGUUUGGACACACUUUAAAAUGUG